This 468-nucleotide ribosomal RNA is filed under the name uncultured bacterium. Its description in RNAcentral is "bacterial SSU rRNA". It matches the Rfam family "Bacterial small subunit ribosomal RNA", at positions 337 to 796 of the family's 1533-position model. The record is from RNAcentral.
UCCUACGGGCGGCAGCAGUCGAGAAUCAUUCGCAAUGGGCGAAAGCCUGACGGUGCGACGUCGCGUGGAGGAUGAAGGUCUUCGGAUUGUAAACUCCUGUCAUGUGGGAUAAAUGGCCGGGGCACGAAUAGUGCCUCGGAAUGAUAGUACCACAGGAGGAAGAGACGGCUAACUCUGUGCCAGCAGCCGCGGUAAUACAGAGGUCUCGAGCGUUGUUCGGAUUUACUGGGCGUAAAGGGAGCGUAGGCGGUUCGGUAUGUCGAAUGUGAAAGCCCACAACUCAACUGUGGAAAUGCAUUCGAAACUGCCGAGCUAGAGUACUGGAGAGGAGAGCGGAAUUCUUGGUGUAGCGGUGAAAUGCGUAGAUAUCAAGAGGAACACCGGUGGCGAAGGCGGCUCUCUGGACAGAUACUGACGCUGAGGCUCUAAAGUUAGGGGAGCAAACAGGAUUAGAUACCCCGGUAGUCC